UGAGGUUUGUGCAUCCCUAAUGACAAAGGGAUGGGGAGAGCUGGCUUCCUCCUCUCUCCCUCACCCCACUGCGUGGGAAGGAGGUGGCUGCCAGCACUGCAAAAUUUAGCAGCUCCUCCAGGCAAAGGAACUGUGCAGAGAGGGCCCCAGUUCCAGCUCCGCUUGCACACACCCAGCUGCUGUGGGAGGUGGGGGGCAGAGCGGGGGGGCCGGGAUUGGAGGGGCCGUGUUACCACGGGGCUGAGCCAUUUCCAGUGCUGAGUUCUGUGCUCUGCUCCCAGCAGCAAAAAGGAAUGCAGUGAUCUCUUAGGGUCUGGUACAAGCCAGGAUUCAUCUCCUGCUUUGAUAGACAGCCUCCAUUCACCCACUCCCUCCUGUGUUUCGGCCACACAUCCCUUACCCCCUCAUUUUGCUUCAUUGCCAUGCGAGCGGUUUGGGGAGAAGGAUCUUAUAAAUGCUGAGUUAACAGACAAAUGUAAAAAAAAAUAUUAAAUAAUAACAACCACCCUGAACCGUGACCUGCGAGAGCGGCAUAAAUAUGGAGAAAAAUAAUUGUGCAUUAAUGCUAAUUGAAACAGCGAGGGCCCCACU
RNAcentral lists this long non-coding RNA (591 nucleotides) under Numida meleagris (helmeted guineafowl). RNAcentral describes it as "lncRNA (ENSNMEG00000007034.1)". The record is from RNAcentral. Lineage: Eukaryota; Metazoa; Chordata; Aves; Galliformes; Numididae.